AUUGACCACAAUGGCAUAUCUUUCUUAGUCUUCCUUCCCCCAAUGGAAUGAGCACAACAAGGUACUAAUACCACCAUUAAAAGGAAAAAAACUAAACUUCCCCCAAUGGAAUGAGCACAACAAGGUACUAAUACCACCAUUAAAAGGAAAAAAAAAACUAAAAGAAGAUGUGCCAAUGUACAAGAAUAAUCUACAUUGUGUCUCUAACAAAUCUCAUAAAUCCGCCAAGGUUGGGAGAAGGAUGUGUUGGUGGUGGUGGAAACGAAGCUUGUUCAUCACCACUUCCGGGCGAAGCCGAAUCCUCCGAAAGUUCCGCUAUCAUUUCUUUAUAAGCUUUAUCCAUCGACGGUUGUGAUUCUGCAAUUCCAAAGUUUCUUCUUUCCGCGUGGAUCUGAUCUGUAAAAAGCACCGAUUUUUCCAAGCUAUCCCUCAUCGCCGCACUAUGAUCACCGAUUUGUAUUCUUGCUUGACUGAAAGCGCUAUCCGAUGCAACAGUUGAAGCUUGAAUUGAUAAAAUAUCCCGAGUCAUCCUUGCAAGAACCGGA
RNAcentral lists this long non-coding RNA (545 nucleotides) under Nicotiana benthamiana. Its description in RNAcentral is "long non-coding RNA (NBEN_LNC022704)". The record is from RNAcentral. Lineage: Eukaryota; Viridiplantae; Streptophyta; Magnoliopsida; Solanales; Solanaceae.